RNAcentral lists this long non-coding RNA (368 nucleotides) under Elaeis guineensis (African oil palm). RNAcentral describes it as "long non-coding RNA (EGUI_LNC058238)". Lineage: Eukaryota; Viridiplantae; Streptophyta; Magnoliopsida; Arecales; Arecaceae. The record is from RNAcentral.
UAGAUAUAAGAUUGUUAACCACCAAGGAGGUCUUGAGUUAGGAUUUGAUAAUUAUGAUUUCAUUAUGCAAAGUUAUGAAAUUCAUACUUCCAUUGUGCAAUCAUAACCCUACAGCUCGUUGCCUCCUUCUUAUGAUCUAUUGGUGACAAUACUACUCUAUGGCAAAGAGACCUAGGAGUAUGAAGACAUGGUCUCGAUGCUGCAGUCCAAUGAAUAGUGGGAGAAGUUGACCAAAGAAGGUGCUCCCCAAGAAGGCUUGGCUAUGGGGGAUAGAUCAGAAAGAGAAAGAAAAAGAGGCAAGUCAAGGAGAUGGUCAAAGUCUCAAAAGAGCAAGAGCAGGAAGGAAGCCAGGUGCUACAGGUGCAACA